Molecule: ribosomal RNA, 440 nt
Filed under: uncultured bacterium
Lineage: Bacteria
Description: partial 16S ribosomal RNA
Rfam family: Bacterial small subunit ribosomal RNA
Source: RNAcentral
CCUACGGGUGGCAGCAGUGGGGGAUAUUGCACAAUGGGGGAAACCCUGAUGCAGCGACGCCGCGUGAGGGAAGACGGUCCUCUGGAUUGUAAACCACUGUCCCCAGGGACGAAGAUGCCGGUACCUGGGGAGGAAGCUCCGGCUAACUACGUGCCAGCAGCCGCGGUAAUACGUAGGGAGCGAGCGUUGUCCGGAAUUACUGGGUGUAAAGGGAGCGUAGGCGGGGAUGCAAGGUGGGUGUCAAAACUACCGGCUCAACUGGUAGUCGCACUCAAAACUGCCGGUCUUGAGGGAAGUAGAGGCAGGCGGAAUUCCUAGUGUAGCGGUGAAAUGCGUAGAUAUUAGGAGGAACACCAGUGGCGAAGGCGGUCUGCUGGACAGCAACUGACGCUGAGGCGCGAAAGCGUGGGGAGCAAACAGGAUUAGAUACCCUAGUAGUC